Molecule: long non-coding RNA, 1138 nt
Organism: Magallana angulata
Lineage: Eukaryota; Metazoa; Mollusca; Bivalvia; Ostreida; Ostreidae
Exons: 3
Source: RefSeq, a predicted model, not a curated record
UGCACAGGUUAAUUUAAAAGAUCUAGUCGAUUUAAAAUAAUCAAUCGCAACUUAUCGGGCCUUUUCAGCAGAACUCGGAAAAUCAUUUAACAGCUGGUUAAAGGAAAGGCCAGGCGUGAAGUUGGAAAAUUGUGAACAAAUUCCGGGGCAAGAAAUUGAGGAAAACGGAGAUACCUGUAUAUCUACUGUAAAAAGGGUAACAUCUGAUUUGUAACAAGAAGUGCAGGACAAAACAUGGACUUUCUGAGCGUGGCUUUGUACGUCUUGUCAUGGAUAAUGACCCUCAUAUUUCUGAGAGCAGGCUUGGUCAAAGUAACUAGUCGUUUAUUUUCAAAGGACCAUAAAGAAACGAGACAAGAGUUUGCACAAUAUGCUAAUGUGUGCCCCACUGUAUUAUUUGGAAUCACACUUUCACCAGAUGGAUACAUGCUUUUGGUCGGAGUCAUCGAGACGCUUGCCUCUAUCCUGCUUUUGGUGCCUUAUACCGAUUUGCAUACUUGGAUGUAUUUAGCAUUCUGUGUCAUGUUGGCGCUUUCAAUUUACACACAUGAUGUUUUAGAACAAUACUUCAAAAUGGUGUAUGAUAUAUGUCUUUUUCUAACAUUUAUAGUGUUAUAUAAAGUUGGACCUAUAGCUUUAACAAACCAGGAAAACGAUCUCGAAUAAAUUAUAAUACUUGUGUGACUGCAACUCUGGAAUCUUAAGUAACAGUUGAUUACAAAGCGUUGUAAAUGAACACUUUAAAAAUCAGUAAAGAAAACUUGUUCGAUUGAAACAUUAUGAUUCUACAUUAAUGUGCUUUUUUAAUUUCGUUCAUAAUACACAUGUCAAUCAAUAUUGCCCCAUUUGCACUUAGUAGAACUUACAUGUAUUGUAUGUGCAGGUUUUACUAAAUGCAGUCUUGGAAACAAUCUUUUUUACAGUUAAGCCACAGAAAGUGGCUUACAUACACAGAGUAACAAAACAAUGCAUAUAGUAAAAAUAUAUUUUAUUGCAUCGUUAUUGCAUCAUUAUUUUUUCAUUCAAUGUGGAGCUUUUUUUUUAAUAUUAUGGAACAGUUAUAUAGAACACAAUUAUGAAAACUGCCUAACAUUUUAUGUGCAUGAUAAUACAUGUAGUUAAAGAAUAAAAUGAAAAG